UAGGGAAUCUUCCGCAAUGGGCGAAAGCCUGACGGAGCAACGCCGCGUGAGUGAUGAAGGUCUUCGGAUCGUAAAACUCUGUUAUUAGGGAAGAACAAAUGUGUAAGUAACUAUGCACGUCUUGACGGUACCUAAUCAGAAAGCCACGGCUAACUACGUGCCAGCAGCCGCGGUAAUACGUAGGUGGCAAGCGUUAUCCGGAAUUAUUGGGCGUAAAGCGCGCGUAGGCGGUUUUUUAAGUCUGAUGUGAAAGCCCACGGCUCAACCGUGGAGGGUCAUUGGAAACUGGAAAACUUGAGUGCAGAAGAGGAAAGUGGAAUUCCAUGUGUAGCGGUGAAAUGCGCAGAGAUAUGGAGGAACACCAGUGGCGAAGGCGACUUUCUGGUCUGUAACUGACGCUGAUGUGCGAAAGCGUCGGGAUCAAACAGG
RNAcentral lists this ribosomal RNA (429 nucleotides) under Actinomycetes bacterium. RNAcentral's name for it is "Actinobacteria bacterium partial 16S ribosomal RNA". It matches the Rfam family "Bacterial small subunit ribosomal RNA", at positions 355 to 776 of the family's 1533-position model. The record is from RNAcentral. Lineage: Bacteria; Bacillati; Actinomycetota; Actinomycetes.